GCAAGUCGAACGAACUCUGGUAUUGAUUGGUGCUUGCAUCAUGAUUUACAUUUGAGUGAGUGGCGAACUGGUGAGUAACACGUGGGAAACCUGCCCAGAAGCGGGGGAUAACACCUGGAAACAGAUGCUAAUACCGCAUAACAACUUGGACCGCAUGGUCCGAGCUUGAAAGAUGGCUUCGGCUAUCACUUUUGGAUGGUCCCGCGGCGUAUUAGCUAGAUGGUGGGGUAACGGCUCACCAUGGCAAUGAUACGUAGCCGACCUGAGAGGGUAAUCGGCCACAUUGGGACUGAGACACGGCCCAAACUCCUACGGGAGGCAGCAGUAGGGAAUCUUCCACAAUGGACGAAAGUCUGAUGGAGCAACGCCGCGUGAGUGAAGAAGGGUUUCGGCUCGUAAAACUCUGUUGUUAAAGAAGAACAUAUCUGAGAGUAACUGUUCAGGUAUUGACGGUAUUUAACCAGAAAGCCACGGCUAACUACGUGCCAGCAGCCGCGGUAAUACGUAGGUGGCAAGCGUUGUCCGGAUUUAUUGGGCGUAAAGCGAGCGCAGGCGGUUUUUUAAGUCUGAUGUGAAAGCCUUCGGCUCAACCGAAGAAGUGCAUCGGAAACUGGGAAACUUGAGUGCAGAAGAGGACAGUGGAACUCCAUGUGUAGCGGUGAAAUGCGUAGAUAUAUGGAAGAACACCAGUGGCGAAGGCGGCUGUCUGGUCUGUAACUGACGCUGAGGCUCGAAAGUAUGGGUAGCAAACAGGAUUAGAUACCCUGGUAGUCCAUACCGUAAACGAUGAAUGCUAAGUGUUGGAGGGUUUCCGCCCUUCAGUGCUGCAGCUAACGCAUUAAGCAUUCCGCCUGGGGAGUACGGCCGCAAGGCUGAAACUCAAAGGAAUUGACGGGGGCCCGCACAAGCGGUGGAGCAUGUGGUUUAAUUCGAAGCUACGCGAAGAACCUUACCAGGUCUUGACAUACUAUGCAAAUCUAAGAGAUUAGACGUUCCCUUCGGGGACAUGGAUACAGGUGGUGCAUGGUUGUCGUCAGCUCGUGUCGUGAGAUGUUGGGUUAAGUCCCGCAACGAGCGCAACCCUUAUUAUCAGUUGCCAGCAUUAAGUUGGGCACUCUGGUGAGACUGCCGGUGACAAACCGGAGGAAGGUGGGGAUGACGUCAAAUCAUCAUGCCCCUUAUGACCUGGGCUACACACGUGCUACAAUGGAUGGUACAACGAGUUGCGAACUCGCGAGAGUAAGCUAAUCUCUUAAAGCCAUUCUCAGUUCGGAUUGUAGGCUGCAACUCGCCUACAUGAAGUCGGAAUCGCUAGUAAUCGCGGAUCAGCAUGCCGCGGUGAAUACGUUCCCGGGCCUUGUACACACCGCCCGUCACACCAUGAGAGUUUGUAACACCCAAAGUCGGGGGGU
RNAcentral lists this ribosomal RNA (1412 nucleotides) under Lactiplantibacillus plantarum. Its description in RNAcentral is "bacterial SSU rRNA". It matches the Rfam family "Bacterial small subunit ribosomal RNA", at positions 57 to 1435 of the family's 1533-position model. Lineage: Bacteria; Bacillati; Bacillota; Bacilli; Lactobacillales; Lactobacillaceae. The record is from RNAcentral.